AUGAGCAGAAACUGGUACUCAGAAAUUUCCACCUGAAUAUAAGGAGGAACUUCUUUACUGUGAGAGUGACCAUUCAAUGAAACAGACUGCCCAGAGAGGCUGUGGAGUCUCCCUCGCCAGACAUGAGCAAGGACCAUCUGCACACAAUCCUGUGCCACGCGCUCUGGAAUGAACCUGCUUGAGCAGGGAGGUUGGACCUGGUGACUCGCUGUGGUUCCUUCCACAUUCUGUGAUCUGUGAAUAAAAUCUUAGAUUUCCUAAGUUUUGGGGGUUUUUUGGACCCCAAAGGCUCAAGACCUUAAAAGUUGUAAGAGUGGUGCUGUUGCUUUCUAUGCAGUGACUGAUAACAGCCGCUGGUUUCAUGUUUGCUCCCAGCCCUCGCCUGUGUUACCUGCUGGAAAUCCCGGUGCCAUCAGCUGAAGGAGGGAGUUUACCAAAAGGCUCCCUUCAGACACUGGAAGGCCACAAUUAGGUGUCUCUGAAGACUUCUCUUCUCCAAGCCAAAUAAUCAAAAUUUUCUCAGCAUUUCCUCAUAGGAGAGGUGCUCCAUCCCUCUGAUAUCUUGGUGGUCUCCUCUGAACUUGCUCCGACAGGUCCGUGUCUUUCCUGUGCUGGCGACCCCAGAGCUGGAUGCAGCACUGCAGCAUCACUGUUCUCUCUUCCUUGCCUGUAAUUAAAGGCUGACUUUGAAUGCUAAGGUGUGAGUCUCUCCAGAUGCUGAGGUGGAAUCUCGAGGAGUCUGAUAAUGAGCAACCAAAACACAGCAGGUAUUCCUAGCAAUGGAUUUGGGAGCCUUUGUUCUAUGCAAAGUCAAAAAUCUCCUGCAUGCCUUCAGAGAUCUACAUGCACAGACUCUGUAAAAGAAAGAGUACAUGGAAUUUCUCAGGGCAUGUCAGCUUUUAUGAAACUGAGCGUUUCUUCAGUAACAAGAGAAGCAAAUGGAAAAAGACAUGGCAGGAUAUUAUACUUGUCAAGUGGAAGAAAUAGCACAACUGUCUGCCACAAAGCCACCUCAGCCCCACGACUGCCUGUAUAGCUCAAAGAGAUAACUCAAACCAACAGUGCUUGAAAUGUUGAUGUACAGGAAAGACUCAACAAAUCUUCAGAGCAGAUUGUUUUGAAGUCCUGCCACCUAUUGGUUUAUCAGAGCACUGAUCAGGGCGGCUGGAUGUCUUCGUGUGAAACUACAAAGGAAAAUGGAUCUUACUGCAUCAAACCCCUAAGCAUAAGAAAUCUAACAAGAGAUGUUUCACUCUCGGACAGUGACCUUUGUCGCCUCCACUGCUUUAUUUCUGCCUGGUAUCCUUCAGGGCAAAAUAAGACAACCACCUGAGGAGAAGAGACUUGCAGCUACUGAGGGCUGGUCAGUAAACCAGCCCUCUGCUUUCCCUGCUGGUACCAAAGUAGCAUUGUACAGAAGAAGCAAUGAUCAACUUGUCACAGCUGCAACCAUAGACUGUAUAGAAUAAGGCAUCAUUGUCAACAAAGCUUGCCCUGACAGCUCAAUCAAGUUGUGUUAUGCUUAUUCAUGCAAAAGGGUUUGCAUGAAGAAGACAAAAUAUUUUAAGAAAAGAGCUUAAAAAAUAUAUCACCCACAAGAAACUCCCAAUUAGUUAACGGUUCUUUAAAUAUUGGGGAAACUGCUUAAUUCAGGAGCCUUGCUGUCUUCUGUUCAUUAUUUUGUGUACCCAAAAGAAUUCACUAAAGUGCACUCCACAUGAUGACAGUGUGACAAGGGCCAAUUUGUGAAUAACUUGUCAACAGCUUGAAUGAAACUCUAGAAAUCCAUAACAGGUGCUCGAUAGCUAUAAUCGAGUGACAGAUGGAUUAGAUACAUGAAACCACAACAAACUGACUGAAUGGGAGAGGGAGAGAGAACAAGGGUGAGAGUGGGGGAGGUUCAUUAACUAUAGAAGAGAGCAAAAAUACAUGAAUUAUUAAAGAAGCAGCAUGAGCCAAUUUGUGUGGAUGCUUCCUGCUCAUCUUCAGCAGCCCUGGGAAGAGGAGCUGCAAUGCCAGCUACUACACACAGCAGCAUUGGUCUAAUAUCUUGACUCUAGGCAGGGGUGUACCAGAGCUUGGCACUGGCCUUGAUUACAGAAAUCACUGUUAUAUUUCAGUACACACACAAGAGCUGAUUCAGCAGUGUACUUGAGUGCAGGCCUUGCUCUGAGCAUGUGAAUAGCACCAUUAUUAAGGUCAGCAGAACAACUGUGUUAACUCACAUGAACACAUUUAAGAGUCUUGCUGAAAUUUUGUUCUCUGUUGAGGGAUACAAAACACAAGGGAUGAACCCCAGCUAGUAUAAAUUGUUAGAAGCCCCCUGGGGACUGCUGACACAAGAGUGUUGAGUGCCUCUCAGGGGCACAAGCAAUGAUGGACCAACAUUUGUCUGCAGGCUUUAGUGGGGGGUUGCCAUCGCCCUGCAGGUCUGUUCCUGUGCCAGCAAACGCAGAGGGCCUCUUCCCAUAGCCAGAGGCUUCCUGCACCCACCCCCACCUUUCCCUGGUGGGGGACCCACAACACCAUCAGUGCUGGAGACCCCAUGUUUUAAGCAUCCAGAUCCACUGACAGGCACCCACUGACUACACACAACUUUGUUCCAUGUGUGUCAGAAUAUUAUAUUUAAUCUCAGCAGAGACACAUUCUACUUAGUCAGUGCCCAGCCUUUAUCUUCUACCUGGCUCUGACUGCAGACAGGAGGGGGGCUCCGGUUACCACUCCUCAUCUCUCUUCCUCUCCAAUGGCUUUUCCCUUAAAUUAAAUUUUUCACUUUAAAUUAAAUCUUCCAUUUUCUUAUUUUACUCCUGUGCACCCUGCUUAGUGCCACAGUCUCAGAUUUGCAGUUAUUCUAUCCAAACAAUGCUUUUCCACAGCUACAUAUUAAGGGAACAACCAAAACCUUGACAGCUGGUUUGCUUUUAUAGAGUGACGUAUCUUUUUUGUUCUGUCACAAAUCUUGUUGUGCCUAAUAUGUUCCCUCAGAGAAAAAAUUGUGACAUUUUGGAACCUAUUCAGGUGACAAACAAAAUACAGUUCCUGAGUAUUUCAGGUGCAAAACCAAAAUUUGUUUUUGUAAAAAAAAAAUUAAAAAAAAAAUAAAACUUGAUUUCUAUUUCUCUUCUCCAUAAAUGUAGCAUAAACAUAUGGACUAAACUAUUGCUUAGGAAAGGAAUUUGCUGUGCAGUCAUUAUCAUACCAGAAACCCAUGUGAUAAUAAAAUGCAGCUAUUUCGCAGUAAAUUUUGGACCCUGACACCAUUUAAUUUUCUUCCACUUUGGCAUAAUGCUUAUGUUUAUGAUAUAUUCACUCCUGCUACCAUCCAGGAUGCUCUGUUUACCUGAAGUGAGACUGUUCUCUCGUGCUGUGGGUAGUGAUCCCCAAAACACCACACCAGAACACUCAUACUCCCAUGUAAACCUUGGAUCAGUGAAUUCAAAGUGUCAGAAUUAACCCAAGGAAGGCACAGUUUCAUACUUGAAUGCCUUUCUGAUCCUAGCAAUGAAAAAGGAAGUUGAGUUUCUAGGUCCAGAA
This is a long non-coding RNA of Passer domesticus (house sparrow), 3534 nucleotides long. RefSeq lists it as uncharacterized. The transcript is spliced from 6 exons. NCBI's taxonomy places the organism in Eukaryota, Metazoa, Chordata, Aves, Passeriformes, Passeridae. The record is from RefSeq and is a predicted model, not a curated record.